CACCACCAUAUGCAGCAUGGAAGGAGAGCUGCAGACUCGUUGCCUCUUUCUCCAAACUUUAACCCCCGAUAACCUGAGCGGGGAAGACUAUCUGAAAGUAUCCUGACCGCCCAAUAAAUCAGUCACAUGGAGGCCUGCUGCAGUCAGGACCUGGAAGAUUUGCAUGAUGGUUGAAAUACAAAGAAAAGGAAUUUGCCUUGAAGAUGGCCUUCACCGGAUAAGAGCAAAUAUGCUUCUGCGUUUGAACAGUCUGAACACUCAGGACCUCACUGAUUUAAGAGCUGGUGAGAAUAUAAAGAUGUCUCAGAUUGUCCUGAGAUGGAAGUUCUUAUGGUCACAGGAUCUUGUUAGCUCUGAGAUCUGAUAAGAAUGAAAAUAUGCCAUAGCUGUGGGGACAAAGACCAGAGGCUGCUUGGUUUCAGAUGGUCCUGAGGUCGAAGUUCUUAUCAACAUCUCGUUAGCUAUGAGACCUGAUCAGAUGGUGCUUUGUUGCAGAUGGUCAUUAGAUGGAAGAUCUUAUCGACACAAGAUCCUUUUUAACUUUGAGAUGUGAUGGACCUGAGGUUAAAGCUCUUAUUGAAACAGGAUCUCGUCAGCUUUGAGAUCUGGCUGAUUGAUUAUUGAAGGAAUGGGGAAAGUAACCACAUGUUCCUGCCGAUGACCUAGUUUGUAAUGGUGCCCUAACACCAGAAAACUGCUGCCCUCAAGCAAACAGAACAACCCCCGAAUGAAGAAACUACAAUUGUUAAUGUUUAACAUCUGAAUAAAAAAAAAUGUGAUUGCUUCAAUCCUUUGUUUUGUUUAAAUAAACAGUAACU
Anoplopoma fimbria (sablefish) is the source of this 818-nucleotide long non-coding RNA. RefSeq lists it as uncharacterized. NCBI's taxonomy places the organism in Eukaryota, Metazoa, Chordata, Actinopteri, Perciformes, Anoplopomatidae. The transcript has 9 exons. The record is from RefSeq and is a predicted model, not a curated record.